RNAcentral lists this long non-coding RNA (1847 nucleotides) under Mus musculus (house mouse). RNAcentral's name for it is "long non-coding RNA chr8:120564449-120566296". Lineage: Eukaryota; Metazoa; Chordata; Mammalia; Rodentia; Muridae. The record is from RNAcentral.
GGUUGGAAGUCAAGGGGGUGUGUGGCUCCAGGGUGACCAGGCAGUGGAAGCCGCGUGAGAGAUGAAUGAAGAACAGUCUGGAAACUAACGGGCUCAUCCCACUUGACCAGCUGUGGAGACCUCACUCUAAUCACUGGAGAAUGAGAGUUCUCUCCUUCCCAGCCGCUGCCUUUCAUGGAUGCAGCUGUGUCUUGGAGCAGCUCUGCAGACAUAUCUUGUCUGCCACAGCUGCUGCCAGGAGGGUGCCCUGGGGCAGCCACCAUGCCGGGGCUUUUUCUGUCCUUGUCACCCAGGCAGCACCCUGCCCCACAGAUGGCCUGGUUAGCCAGGUUCUAGUCAGAGAGGCCACAGGCCUGAGGAGGGCAGCAGUGUGCAAACCCCCCUUCCCCCCACCCCCCCAAUUGGCCUGAUGACCAUUUUUUCUUUUCUCUUUUUUUUCUCUUUUUUCAUCUUUGGGGCUAUUUUUUGUUUUUUGUUUUUUGGUUUUUGGUUUUUUUUUUUUUUGGAGACAGGAUUUCUCUGUGUAGCCUGGCUGUCCUAGAACUCACUCUGUAGUGCUGGGAUUAAAGGCAUGUGCCACCACUGCCCAGCCUGAUGGCCAUUUUUCUAGUCUCCUUGUUUGUCCUGGUGUGAGUGGGAUAUGUGCCCCCACCCCACCCGCACCCUGCCAUACACACCUAUACGGUACUGUGUGAAUGUUUCUCCUGAGGAGGGCAGGUCAGAGGUCAUGAACCCAUGAGGACCCCACAAGGGAACAGAGACAGCCUGCUGCUGCACCCAGGGAAGGAAACAGAUGUUGCUGCUCAUUAAAAAUUCAAUCAGCAGCCUGUCUCCCUCAAUUAAUCGUGGCUGGCUGUCUGUGGGGAGCAGGAGGGCUUGUGGUAGACUCUGUGAGAAUGGAGGCGGGGAGGUACGGUGCUAAGCUGUCCUCACUCUGCACACACAGGGUUAAGUGGUGGUACAGCCACGACCCCUCCCCUCGGGGCUUACAUAUGCUCUGGUGAUGCUAGCUGCUGACCCUGGGGAUAACCACAAGGAGCCGGUAGAAUGGCUGGCAGGCCUGUAUCCAGAGACAAUCAGUGUUACUAUGCUGGCUACCAUGAGCCUUUCAGUCACACCAUGGGUUCAGCCAUAUCAUCCAGAGGACCUCGUGUCCCUAGUGAGUGCCACUGUCUGCCUUGUGUUGGGCUUCUCCUGCAGUAGUGAGGGAAGGGCCUCAAAGUUGUACCAGGAGGCUCCUGGCCCUCAGUCUCCCCUCUGCUCCGUGGCUCCCUGACUUUGCCUCUCUGCCUUGCCCUGAGGAUUCCUCCCUAGUCACAGGUGACAGGCAUGCAGGGCUGUUGGGUCUGGUUUCUCCAGGCUGUGUGGUGCUGCUGUGACUGUUUAUACAGAAAAUCAGUCCGUGAGGCGGGGUCUCCCCAGCCCAGCCCAGCCCAGCCCAACUCAACUGCCGCCUCUCACUUCCUGCCUGAAGGGAGCCUCUCCUGGGGUCUCAAAGCCUAAAUAUGUGCAAGGGUCCCCCACGUAGGUCCAUAUCAGCUGCCAGCAGUGUCCACAUAGCUACGGGCACUGCUGGAAUCUAGGGAGCAGCUCUGUCCUGAGGUGCAGGUCCCCAGGGUGUGUGUGUGUCCUGACUCUAUGACCACCCUGUUUUGCCUAUAGGAGGUGGGAGUUCCUACCCUGCAGAUGCCCUCACAUGCCUCAUCUUGGGAUUCAGCAGUCUGGUGUCUAAGGCUUCCCUGACAUUGUUGAGUUCCUUCUAGAGCUGAGCCAGACCCUGUAGACCUUGGUCCAGACCUGCUCAUAGGAGGCUUUCUCCCUAAAUACCCCUUUUAUGCUUUCUUUGA